GGUAUUUGAAUUGCUGGGUAGUUAGUUAAGAAUUAUUGGAAGGCCGAAGGCCAUUUGUGUGAUUUGCAUGAAAAUAUAUUGUGCAUGCUGCCAGUUGGGGAUAUAAAUUGUGUUUUUAUGCAGGUAUAAAUUUUGGGAAAUGUCCAAUUUAUAGGGGAGACUCUGCCGAAAUUUCGGCAGAAAGUCUCGGUCUUUAGUAAGUGGGCCCGGCAUCGGGGGAUGUCAGGAAAUUCCAAAGGAUUCGUCUCGGAUUUGGGGAAAAUUCGGGGCGGGUCCUUUCA
This 281-nucleotide long non-coding RNA is filed under the name Prunus dulcis (almond). RNAcentral describes it as "sRNA ncRNA". The record is from RNAcentral. Lineage: Eukaryota; Viridiplantae; Streptophyta; Magnoliopsida; Rosales; Rosaceae.